RNAcentral lists this long non-coding RNA (673 nucleotides) under Vulpes vulpes (red fox). RNAcentral describes it as "lncRNA (ENSVVUG00000020021.1)". The record is from RNAcentral. Lineage: Eukaryota; Metazoa; Chordata; Mammalia; Carnivora; Canidae.
CAAGCACUCCAUGAGUGGGCUGUUGGCUAUGCUUUACCCUCACUUCUUUUCUCCUCGCAAGAGAAUCACGUAUCUUUGAGGAAUUAGAAGCAAGGUCACUCUCUGGAAGUUAAGGUGUAAAACAAAACACAAGGAUGAAUCAGGAAUCUUCCAAGUCACCCUAAGACAAUGGACUGGGUCACCAGCUACUGAGUUUUACCUGUGAAAUGAUUGAAUGUAGCAACACACUAAAAACCAAUAUGGCCAUUUUUAAUUAAAACAUACAGAAAAAAAGCUUAUAGAGGUAAACUGGCUCAUAGCCAAUGGACUUCCAAAUGUUCUAGUCUUGCCUUCAAGGAGAGUAUUUCUACUAACAUCAUGAAUGAAUCAGGCCAUCCUAACUUAGAGAUAAGAACUCUGAGGCUCAUCUGUCAGUGCUCUCAGCCAGGGGCAAUUCAGCUCCCUCUAGGGAACAUUUGGGAAUAUGUUGGGAUCUGUAGCAUGUUCUCACUGGCCAAAAGACUGCUGAUUCAGGCAAAUCUUCUGUGGGCUGGAUUAUGUGAGAAAGAAAGUGUCCAUUUUUGGGUCUCUGGAAGGAAAAGGAGACUCAGUUUUUAAGGGAAUUAAGAGGAAACAAGGCAAAAAAAUAAUUUCUUUCACAAAAAAAAAUAAAUAAAAGGGUGUGCUAUAUCCA